UCACAUAUAUUGAGUGCCAAAAUUUUCAGCGAGGUAAUAUUAACUCUGGGGAGUUCCAGAACAGUAUUGGAAUUUCUUUGUGCUGCUAAGGAGAAGAAAAGGUCCUUCCGGGUGUUUGUUGCUGAGGGUGCUCCAAGAUAUCAGGGUCAUCUUCUUGCUAAGGAGUUGGUUACAAGAGGUUUACAGACCACACUUAUUACUGAUUCUGCAGUUUUUGCCAUGAUCUCCCGGGUGAACAUGGUAAUAGUUGGAGCUCAUGCUGUCAUGGCAAAUGGUGGUGUCAUGGCACCUGUUGGUUUGAAUAUGGUGGCCCUUGCAGCUAAAAGGCAUGCUGUUCCUUUUGUCGUUCUAGCUGGAAGUCACAAGGUAAUGUUAUGAAUUAGUCUUGUUUCAAAUUUGAAUUUUGGUAAAAUAUUUAGCAACCGAGCAUUUUCACCUCCAAAUUGUUUCAAAGUUACAAAAGGGAUAUGUCAUCCAUGUUUACAAAAAAAAAAAAAAAAA
This is a non-coding RNA of Cucurbita pepo subsp. pepo (vegetable marrow), 501 nucleotides long. NCBI's taxonomy places the organism in Eukaryota, Viridiplantae, Streptophyta, Magnoliopsida, Cucurbitales, Cucurbitaceae. The record is from RefSeq and is a predicted model, not a curated record.